This is a long non-coding RNA of Oncorhynchus nerka (sockeye salmon), 420 nucleotides long. RefSeq lists it as uncharacterized. Lineage: Eukaryota; Metazoa; Chordata; Actinopteri; Salmoniformes; Salmonidae. The transcript has 3 exons. The record is from RefSeq and is a predicted model, not a curated record.
ACCAGCAGUCCAGCUAUGCCAAAUGUCCUUGAUGCCAUUGGAGAUGUCAAACUCAACAACUUCAUGAAUGCACAGCUGAACAACGCCAGUUUCGUUGACAAGUUGUUCCAGAAGAUGCUCCGUCCAUUCUUGGCAUCUCCAUCUAGGAAUUUCCUCUCCUGUCUCAGCUCAAAGAACUUCAGUUGUCAGACCUACCAAAUUGUCAUUGAGGCUCUAAGCAACCAAUCAGCCUCCAUGGACAGAGAGCAACAACGAGUGAUCUUCACUCAUUACAUCUAUCCAUUCCUUUCAAGAAAUGACUCAUCAGAUCCCGGCUGUGUCUCAAACACCAGUGGAAGCAUGGACUGGCUCCAGAGGAACUUUGGCAUCUUUUCUGUUUUUGCAGAACUGCAGGAGUUACAAGUCCUUAAUCCCGACUUC